UGCCAAUGACGAGACCAAUCACAGACCUGUUCUGAGAGCAAUGAGGACAGCUUAAUAUCUCUGAGGCCC
Xenopus tropicalis (tropical clawed frog) is the source of this 69-nucleotide small nucleolar RNA. The record is from Ensembl. NCBI's taxonomy places the organism in Eukaryota, Metazoa, Chordata, Amphibia, Anura, Pipidae.